UCGGACAGUGACCCUCCGUUGCCCCUGGUGGUCACGCUUAGUACAAGGACAGGCAUUUACUGUGCCUGGGCCAGUGCUCGGUCUGUGCGAGGCAUUUUACUGCCAGCAUCUCAUUUACCCUGAUCCUCCGAGGUACCUCUGGUGAUCCUGAGAUCUGGCAAAAAGGGCGCUGGACUAUUCACUUCUUCAGACACCACCCACUUUACAGAUGAAGCCACUGAGAUAAUGGAGCAACUGACUAGUCACCACCCCACCUCUGGAGCCUCACACAGGACUCUUCUCCUCCCACUUAAGUGACUGCAGGUGAGACAUGGUCUUGUCACUGUAACAUAAUAGUUGAGAAUGAGACUCUAAAGUCAGCCUUCUGGGGUGUGAAUUCUGACUCAGCCACUUACUGUGUGUCCUUGGAAGAGGGAGACAUACCAAAGGGAAGAUGGCCAGAUGAAGAUGGAGGCAGAGAUUGAAGUUAUGCUGCUACAAACCAAGGAAUGGCAAAGAUAACUAACAACCAUCGGAAGCUGGAAGAGGCAAGGAAGGAUUCUUCCCUACAGCCUUCUGAGGGAGCACAGCCCUGCUGACACCUUAAUUUUUGACUUUUAGCCUUCAAAACUGUAAGGAAAUGGAGGCCCAGAAUGGUCAAAUAUUUGGAGAUCUCUCAAGGCCACUGCUCUGCUGGCUGGGCACUUACCCUGAAGCUCCUGCUGUUGCUGUUGUCAGCUCUCCACUUUCACCACAGCCGUCAGCUUCUGGUAGUGCUGGGGCUGAGCUGCUGGAAUGGCUCCUUUCUGUCACAGCAGGCCCAGCCUUUUCCCCAUCUUUGCCCACUUCACAUCCGAAGCAGAAACUCUUCUCGUGAGGUUUCUGGCUAGAGCCUGAUCAUUUCACCAGGCCUCUUACUGACUCCAGCCCUUCAGCCUUUACUUUUCAUUUCCAUGCAUUGUCAGAGACGUGUGGGUGACAAAUUUGAGGGGAGGGUCACCCAGCUCCUGGCAAUUGAAUUAUGCUUCUCAUUUCUGGCCCGCUUAUGCUUCCAAGAAUUUUUCAGUAGACAAUUCAAGUCUUUAUUUUUCUUUGGAGCUUUUAAGAUCUCACACAUAGCUCAUAUGGCACAUAUCACAGUUCAUGGCUGUGAGCAGAAAAGGAGCUGCUUCCUGGUAGCACUGUCUGUGGCUGCCCCGGUCACCUGCUCUUGAUGAACACAAAUCACCGCAGUGCCUCUCUCCCCUGCCACUGGGAAUGGUGGGGAUAAGGACAUUAUUUGACCCAGCUCUUCAGUGUAGCUCCUUGUCAGCCCAUGGUCUCUUUUGCUGGCAUCCCAGGAGAGAUUUCCUCCUCCUGCAUCCUGUUGCUGGCUCUGGAAUCUUGUCUAUUUUCCACUAUAGACCUUUUGCUUUGGAUCCUGCUCUUAUUGUCAGCUCCUCUCACUAGACUGAACUUUGGGAACAUAUUUUUUUUAAAAAAAUUAUGUUUUUAUUUCAGAGAGGAAGGGAGAGGGAGGGAGAGAUAGAAACAUCAACAAUGAGAGAGAAUCAUUGAUCGGCUGCCUCUUGCAUGCCUCACACUGGGGAUCGAGCCCACAUCCUGGGCAUAAGCCUUGACUGGGAAUUGAACUGUGACUUUCCUGGUUCAUGGAUUGAUACUCAACCACUGAGCCAUGCUGGCCAGUCAAAACCAUAUCUUUUGUUUGCUGCUAUAGCCCAGGACUGAGCAAAGACCUGGCACUGACUAGCUAAUCCCUCAGGAAAUGUUCAUUGAAUAAAGAAAUGAAUGUUGACCUUAAA
This is a long non-coding RNA of Myotis daubentonii (Daubenton's bat), 1781 nucleotides long. RefSeq lists it as uncharacterized. NCBI's taxonomy places the organism in Eukaryota, Metazoa, Chordata, Mammalia, Chiroptera, Vespertilionidae. The record is from RefSeq and is a predicted model, not a curated record. The transcript has 5 exons.